UCAAUGACUUAUAUACUUCCUAUGUCAUCUUUUGUAUCCUCCUUAUGUCUCUGGUGACACUAGUAAUAAGCAUCUUCAAUGCUGAAUUUUAUGCAGUUGUGCCCUCAAUACCAUGCUCUCGAUUAGCACUGAUAGGAAAAAUUAUUCACCCUCGGCAAGUUAUCCAUUCGGUUGUUCAUGCUAUAAUGGGAAUGUUGGUUGCUUGGUGCACUGCAGUUAUGACCAAAGGGAAGUUCCAGUUUCUUGCUGUGUCCUGCACAACUUCAGAAAGCCUAGAUGAUGCUCUUCCUCAGAUGUGCCUGAAUGAGUAUCACCUCUUUUUUCUGCUUUCUGGAGCUUUCAUGGGAUACAGUUACAGUCUUUUGUAUCUUAUUAACAAUAUGAAUUACUUGCCAUUUCCAGUCAUACAGCAAUACAAGUACUUACGGUUCAGAAGAUCUUUGCUUCUUCUCAUUAAACACAGUUGUGUGGAAUCGCUAUAUUUUGUUAGAAACUUCUGUGUCGCAUACUACUUUUUUGGUUAUAUCCCAAAAGUAUGGAUAAGUACCACAAUGAAUCUUCAUCUAGACAGUGAAUUGCAUCCUCUUGACUCUUUGACUGGUUUAUUGGAUAUCUCCCUGUUUUACCAUGCCUGGUUGUGUGGCGUGUUUCUUCUGAUUACCUGGUACAUUGCAUGGUUACUCUUCAAAAUACAUGCCACAGAGACACAUCAUUUUCCUGUCCAGCCAACUUUUGCUGAGGAGACAGACCAGUGCCUGCCUAAAAUCUUAAACAGCAAUCCUCCCUUAAUUAUAAAGUUUUUAGCCUUACAAGACUUGAUGUUACUUUCGCAAUAUUCUCCUGUUCGACGACAGGAAGUCUUCAGCCUUAGUCAGCCAGGUGGGCACCCGCACAACUGGACUGCAAUAUCAAGGGAGUGUUUGAGUCUUCUGAGCGAUCUGACCCAGAGGCUGAUCGCACAGCAGGAAGCUGCAGCAGCAAAUGGGAGAGUGAAGCAGCCAGCAGGAGAGCUGAAAGUAUCUCCACAGACUCCAGGAGCCGUGGUGAGAGAAGACAUGGCUUUCCAGUCACCGAGGUCUAACAUCAUUCCCAGAGCCUCCAUGUCUUCACUGGUUAAACCAUCCCUUACGCCUUUAAAGACAUUGUCUGGGUCUGACGUUGGUUCGCCUCUUAGCUCACCUUCUUUAAAUUGCAAGAUGGGAAUUCUGGGUGUAAACUCUCCUUGGCAUGUAUCAGUCCAAAGUCCUCAAGUUACGCGAAGGGGACCAAAGUUGUGGACGUCAGAUUCAGAUCUGCAAAUGAAUGGUUCCCACCAGAAAUCUUCCCCAGUGGUCUCUGCUGCAAGAGUUGGCAGUGAAGUGGUACAGCCAAGAUUUAUUUACACGUGGCUUCAGAACAAGCAAGAACAGAUAAAAAAUUUCUUGGCAAAACGAGUGCUGAUAAUGUAUUUCUUCAGCAAGCACCCAGAAGCCUCCAUCCAAGCUGUCUUCUCUGAUGCCCAAAUGCACAUCUGGGCUUUGGAAGGUCUGUCUCAUUUGGUAGCAGCUUCCUUUACUGAAGACCAGUUUGGAGUUGUCCAAACCACACUGCCAGCUAUCCUGAAUACUUUACUGACUCUUCAGGAGGUUGUAGAUAGAUAUUUCAAACUGCCUCAUGUUUCUAGCAAGCCCCCCAGGAUUUCAGGAAGUCUGGUGGAUACAUCCUACAAAACGCUACGAUUUGCACUUAGAGCUUCUCUGAAAACAGCACUAUACCGGAUAACUACUGUCUUUGGGGAGCACUUAAAGGUGAGAAUCCUGUGAAGAAUCCAAAUAAUCAGAUUCCCUUGCUGCUUGGUUGUCUGAUGGUUCUUUCUCAGCUACUGUUGCAGCAGGCAGACUCUCUAAAUAAGUGGGACUGAAACUUCCUGCAGUAUCUGCCCAUCUUUCCCUGUGGGGAUGAAAUGUCACUUGGUUUGGAAGUGCCCGAUGUACAGGAGAGAUCAUUUUAAGAGAUUCUUUCUUACCUCAAUCAUUCUUGCAAGUUAAACAAUUGCUUGUGUGUGUUUAAAGUGCAGUGCAAGUGUCUACAGAACAUAAGAAAAGACUUCAGCAAUUCUUGGAAUACAAAGAAUAAAUAGCAGAUUUUGAUGCAGCUAUGGUUGUUUUUUUCCAACACUUGGUAAGAAGAAAUUGGGACUGAUGAGCCUUUUUAUCUUGGCUUUUUGGAAAAGCAUAUGGAAGUACAAGUCAGAACAAAACUCUUAAAACUGUAGAAGAGCUCUUUUGGGUUUGGAUUAUCUUUUGUAUAAUAAAGCCUUUUUUAAAAUUCAUCUUGCUGCCUUUUAAUAUCACUUACAAAUGAGUAAGUGUCAGUUCUUAUUUUAUGUAAGAUUGACAUUUGAGAUUAUCAGAGUUACUUUGCCACU
RNA transcript from Athene cunicularia (burrowing owl), 2407 nucleotides. It is a transcript of the gene named NDC1 transmembrane nucleoporin, with no coding region annotated. Lineage: Eukaryota; Metazoa; Chordata; Aves; Strigiformes; Strigidae. The record is from RefSeq and is a predicted model, not a curated record. The transcript is spliced from 17 exons.